UAAGUUACUAAGAGCACACGGGGGAUGCCUAGGCUCUCAAAGGCGAAGAAAGACGUGAUAAGCUGCGAUAAGGUUCGGGGAGAAGCAAAUAUUUUGUGAUCCGGACAUUUCUGAAUGGGGAAACCCGUCUGGUUGAAGACCAGUCAUCCGAAAGGAGGCAAACGCACUGAACUGAAACAUCUAAGUAGGUGCAGGAAGAGAAAACAAUAGUGAUUUCCGUAGUAGCGGCGAGCGAAGUGGAAAUAGCCCAAACCGUUUUUGUUUCGGCAAAAUCGGGGUUGUAGGACUACAAUAUCCGUAAUAAAGUAUAGUGGAACAAGUUGGAAAGCUUGGCAAUAUGAGUGAUAGCCUCGUACACGAAAUGCUUUAGAAGGUAGUAGUAUCCUGAGUAGGGCGGGACAUGUGAAAUCCUGUCUGAAUCUGCCAGAACCAUCUGGUAAGGCUAAAUACUCUUGAGAGACCGAUAGCGAACUAGUACCGUGAGGGAAAGGUGAAAAGAACCCUGAAUAAGGGAGUGAAAUAGAUCCUGAAACCAUACGCUUACAAGCGGUCGGAGCAGACUUGAUCUGUGACGGCGUGCCUUUUGCAUAAUGAGCCUACGAGUUACCGUUGCUAGCAAGGUUAAGUGAUUAAGUCACGGAUCCGUAGCGAAAGCGAGUCUGAAUAGGGCGUUUUAGUUAGUAGUGGUAGACGCGAAACCGUGUGAUCUACCCAUGGGCAGGGUGAAGCUGUAGUAACAUACAGUGGAGGCCCGAACCGAUAUACGUUGAAAAGUGUUCGGAUGACCUGUGGGUAGGGGUGAAAGGCCAAUCAAACUCGGAAAUAGCUCGUACUCCCCGAAAUGCAUUUAGGUGCAGCGUUGAUUUAUAGUUUUAUAGAGGUAGAGCUACUGAUUGGAUGCGGGGGCUUCACCGCCUACCAAUUCCUGACAAACUCCGAAUGCUAUAAAAUGUUAAUCAGCAGUGAGGGCAUGGGUGCUAAGGUCCAUGUCCGAGAGGGAAAGAACCCAGACCUUCAGCUAAGGUCCCAAAAUCUAUACUAAGUUGAACUAAGGCGGUCCAGUUGCAUAGACAGCCAGGAUGUUGGCUUGGAAGCAGCCAUUCAUUUAAAGAGUGCGUAACAGCUCACUAGUCGAGCGGUUCAGCAUGGAUAAUAAUCGGGCAUAAACAUAUUACCGAAGCUAUGGACUUGAAAAAGUGGUAGGGGAGCAUUGUAGUGUCGUCGAAGGUGUACUGCGAGGUAUGCUGGAGAAGCUACAAAAGAAAAUGUAGGCAUAAGUAACGAUAAUGCGGGCGAGAAACCCGCACUCCGAAAGACUAAGGUUUCCUCAGCUAUGCUAAUCAGCUGAGGGUUAGUCGGGGCCUAACGCGAACCCGAAAGGGGUAGUGGAUGG
RNAcentral lists this ribosomal RNA (1393 nucleotides) under Heterosigma akashiwo. RNAcentral describes it as "partial Bacterial large subunit ribosomal RNA". It matches the Rfam family "Bacterial large subunit ribosomal RNA", at positions 4 to 1421 of the family's 2925-position model. The record is from RNAcentral. Lineage: Eukaryota; Raphidophyceae; Chattonellales; Chattonellaceae.